UACGCUGCCGGCACGCCUAACACAUGCAAGUAGAACGCAGUAGCAAUACUGAGUGGCAAACGGGUGAGUAUAAUGUGGGAAUCUGCCUUUUGGUUUGGAAUAACACGGGGAAACUUGUGCUAAUACCGAAUAAGCCUUUACGGGGAAAGUUUUAACGCCGAAAGAUGAGCCUGCACUUGAUUAGCUAGUUGGUAAGGUAAAAGCUUAUCAAGGCAACGAUCAAUAGCUGUUCUUAGAGGAAGACCAGCCACAUUGGGACUGAGACACGGCCCAGACUCCUACGGGAGGCAGCAGUGGGGAAUCUUGCACAAUGGGGGAAACCCUGAUGCAGCGAUGCCGCGUGAGUGAAGAAGGCCUUUGGGUUGUAAAACUGUUUCGUCGGGGAAGAAAAUGACUGUACCCGAAUAAGAAGGUCCGGC
Molecule: ribosomal RNA, 419 nt
Filed under: uncultured bacterium
Lineage: Bacteria
Description: bacterial SSU rRNA
Rfam family: Bacterial small subunit ribosomal RNA
Source: RNAcentral